Non-coding RNA from Lasiosphaeria hispida, 109 nucleotides. NCBI's taxonomy places the organism in Eukaryota, Fungi, Ascomycota, Sordariomycetes, Sordariales, Lasiosphaeriaceae. The record is from the annotation of a GenBank genome assembly.
GGCAGUGUGGCCGAGCGGUCUAAGGCGAUUGACUCGAAUGACUCGUAAAUGAGUUUUCACUUGAAAUCAAUUCUCUUCGGAGGCGCAUGUUCAAAUCAUGCCACUGUCG